CCUACGGGUGGCAGCAGUAGGGAAUCUUCCACAAUGGGCGAAAGCCUGAUGGAGCAACGCAGCGUGGGUGAAGAAGGUCUUCGGAUCGUAAAACCCUGUUGUUAGAGAAGCAAGUGCGUGAGAGUAACUGUUCACGUUUCGACGGUAUCUAACCAGCACGCCACGGCUAACUACGUCACACCAGCCGCGGUAAUACGGAGGUGGCAAGCGUUAUCCGGUUUUAUUGUGCGUAAAGGGAGCGCAGACGGUCUUUUAAGUCUGAUGUGAAAGCCUUCGGCUUAACCGGAGUAGUGCAUUGGUAACUGGGAGACUUGAGUGCAGAAGAGGAGAGUGGAACUCCAUGUGUAGCGGUGAAAUGCGUAGAUAUAUGGAAGAACACCAGUGGCGAAGGCGGCUCUCUGGUCUGUAACUGACGCUGAUGUUCGAAAGCGUGGGUAGCAAACAGGAUUAGAUACCCUUGUAGUC
This 465-nucleotide ribosomal RNA is filed under the name uncultured bacterium. RNAcentral describes it as "partial 16S ribosomal RNA". It matches the Rfam family "Bacterial small subunit ribosomal RNA", at positions 338 to 795 of the family's 1533-position model. The record is from RNAcentral.